GGGGAAUAUUGCGCAAUGGGGGGAACCCUGACGCAGCAACGCCGCGUGAGUGAAGAAGGUCUUCGGAUCGUAAAACUCUGUCAUAGGGGAAGGAGGAGAUGACGGUACCCUAUGAGGAAGCCCCGGCUAACUACGUGCCAGCAGCCGCGGUAAUACGUAGGGGGCGAGCGUUGUCCGGAAUUACUGGGCGUAAAGGGUGCGUAGGCGGCUGAUUAAGUCAGAUGUGAAAUACCAGGGCUCAACCCUGGGGGUGCAUUUGAAACUGGCCAGCUUGAGUGCAGGAGAGGGAAGUGGAAUUCCUAGUGUAGCGGUGAAAUGCGUAGAGAUUAGGAGGAACACCAGUGGCGAAGGCGACUUCCUGGACUGUAACUGACGCUGAGGCACGAAAGCGUGGGGAGCAAAC
Molecule: ribosomal RNA, 403 nt
Filed under: uncultured bacterium
Lineage: Bacteria
Description: bacterial SSU rRNA
Rfam family: Bacterial small subunit ribosomal RNA
Source: RNAcentral